This 622-nucleotide ribosomal RNA is filed under the name Shigella flexneri. RNAcentral's name for it is "bacterial SSU rRNA". It matches the Rfam family "Bacterial small subunit ribosomal RNA", at positions 88 to 706 of the family's 1533-position model. Lineage: Bacteria; Pseudomonadati; Pseudomonadota; Gammaproteobacteria; Enterobacterales; Enterobacteriaceae. The record is from RNAcentral.
CUGACGAGUGGCGGACGGGUGAGUAAUGUCUGGGAAACUGCCUGAUGGAGGGGGAUAACUACUGGAAACGGUAGCUAAUACCGCAUAACGUCCCAAGACCAAAGAGGGGGACCUUCGGGCCUCUUGCCAUCGGAUGUGCCCAGAUGGGAUUAGCUUGUUGGUGGGGUAACGGCUCACCAAGGCGACGAUCCCUAGCUGGUCUGAGAGGAUGACCAGCCACACUGGAACUGAGACACGGUCCAAACUCCUACGGGAGGCAGCAGUGGGGAAUAUUGCACAAUGGGCGCAAGCCUGAUGCAGCCAUGCCGCGUGUAUGAAGAAGGCCUUCGGGUUGUAAAGUACUUUCAGCGGGGAGGAAGGGAGUAAAGUUAAUACCUUUGCUCAUUGACGUUACCCGCAGAAGAAGCACCGGCUAACUCCGUGCCAGCAGCCGCGGUAAUACGGAGGGUGCAAGCGUUAAUCGGAAUUACUGGGCGUAAAGCGCACGCAGGCGGUUUGUUAAGUCAGAUGUGAAAUCCCCGGGCUCAACCUGGGAACUGCAUCUGAUACUGGCAAGCUUGAGUCUCGUAGAGGGGGGUAGAAUUCCAGGUGUAGCGGUGAAAUGCGUAGAGAUCUGGAGGAA